Streptomyces sp. NBRC 110611 is the source of this 75-nucleotide non-coding RNA. The record is from Rfam. NCBI's taxonomy places the organism in Bacteria, Bacillati, Actinomycetota, Actinomycetes, Kitasatosporales, Streptomycetaceae.
CUUCACCGCGCCCAGCAGCAACGGACGCUCCGAAGGCCGCUCCUGGCCGUAGGUGGCCAGCAGUGCCUGGGCCUC